ACACUACUGAUGAGUCCCACAAUAGGACGAAACGGCCGUUCAGUGC
This 46-nucleotide non-coding RNA is filed under the name Schistosoma curassoni. Lineage: Eukaryota; Metazoa; Platyhelminthes; Trematoda; Strigeidida; Schistosomatidae. The record is from RNAcentral.